This 267-nucleotide long non-coding RNA is filed under the name Coffea arabica (coffee). RNAcentral describes it as "long non-coding RNA (CARA_LNC008010)". The record is from RNAcentral. Lineage: Eukaryota; Viridiplantae; Streptophyta; Magnoliopsida; Gentianales; Rubiaceae.
AAAAAGUCAAAAAAUCAAAUCAAGUUCAUCACGGCAGGAUCGGGUUUAAUCCCACUGUCCGAUUGUCAAAGCAUUUCAUUUUCAAAGCCACUGGAGCCUGAGGUUAGUCCCGCCAGUGAGCAUUUCCUUUUCGUUCGCCACUAGCCGUUGGUCAGUCCCACUAGUGAUCAUUUCAUUUACAUCACUAACAAACAUGGGUCGGUCUCAUUAACACUUCAUUUCACUGCUUUCAUUUGCAUCACCAAUAAACAUGGGUCAAUCCCACCA